CGACCGUCGUGCGUGUCACAGGUCUACGUACCUUGUUAACAUUUCUUCAAGACGCGUCGAAUCACAUUCAGAAUACGUAUCUAUGAUCUGCCUGUCAGCUGCAGACGUCAAGCUGGUGGAGCUACAGUGGGAUGUGAUUAAUUGAGAGUGGGUCGGACUGCUGGCACGGAGCUUCUUCCAAUAUCUGACGCUGUUUCCCACCUCUGCAUAAGCUCCGUGUUGCCACCUCCACACCUUCACCUCCUCUGUGUGAGUUAUCUGCUGCAGACUGAACGUGUUACCUGCACGGCUGUUUGGUGAACACCUGUCGACACCGACGCCCUCGUUUAUACGCUCUUUAUUACAGAAGACGAAAUGUUUCAUUCAAGACUCCUUGAUGAUUCUCAGAACCGGGUCACUGUGCUGCGUGUCUACCUGGUGAAUAAAGUUGAAGGACGUCUUCUACUAUUUA
This is a long non-coding RNA of Acanthopagrus latus (yellowfin seabream), 451 nucleotides long. RefSeq lists it as uncharacterized. The record is from RefSeq and is a predicted model, not a curated record. NCBI's taxonomy places the organism in Eukaryota, Metazoa, Chordata, Actinopteri, Spariformes, Sparidae. The transcript is spliced from 2 exons.